CCUACGGGUGGCAGCAGUGGGGAAUAUUGGACAAUGGGCGAAAGCCUGAUCCAGCCAUGCCGCGUGUGUGAAGAAGGCCUUCGGGUUGUAAAGCACUUUCAGUGGGGAAGAAAGCCUUGGGGCUAAUACCCUCGAGGAAGGACAUCACCCACAGAAGAAGCACCGGCUAACUCCGUGCCAGCAGCCGCGGUAAUACGGAGGGUGCGAGCGUUAAUCGGAAUUACUGGGCGUAAAGCGCGCGUAGGUGGUCUGAUAAGCCGGUUGUGAAAGCCCCGGGCUCAACCUGGGAACGGCAUCCGGAACUGUCCGGCUAGAGUGCAGGAGAGGGAGGUAGAAUUCCCGGUGUAGCGGUGAAAUGCGUAGAGAUCGGGAGGAAUACCAGUGGCGAAGGCGGCCUUCUGGACUGACACUGACGCUGAGGUGCGAAAGCGUGGGUAGCAAACAGGAUUAGAUACCCGAGUAGUC
RNAcentral lists this ribosomal RNA (465 nucleotides) under Vreelandella stevensii. Its description in RNAcentral is "partial 16S ribosomal RNA". It matches the Rfam family "Bacterial small subunit ribosomal RNA", at positions 338 to 795 of the family's 1533-position model. Lineage: Bacteria; Pseudomonadati; Pseudomonadota; Gammaproteobacteria; Oceanospirillales; Halomonadaceae. The record is from RNAcentral.